GACGAACGCUGGCGGCGUGCUUAACACAUGCAAGUCGAACGGAAAGGCCCUGCUUUUGUGGGGUUCUCGAGUGGCGAACGUGUGAGUAACACGUGAGUAACCUUCCCUUUACUUUGGGAUAACUUCAGGAAACUGGGGCUAAUACCGGAUAGGAGCUCCUGCUGCAUGGUGGGGUUUGGAAAGUUUCGGCGGUUGGGGAUGGACUCGCGGCUUAUCAGCUUGUUGGUGGGGUAGUGGCUUACCAAGGCUUUGACGGGUAGCCGGCCUGAGAGGGUGACCGGCCACAUUGGGACUGAGAUACGGACCAGACUCGUACGGGAGGCAGCAGUGGGGAAUAUUGCACAAUGGGCGGAAGCCUGAUGAAGCAACGCCGCGUGCGGGAUGACGGCCUUCGGGUUGUAAACCGCUUUCGCCUGUGACGAAGCGUGAGUGACGGUAAUGGGUAAAGAAGCACCGGCUAACUACGUG
RNAcentral lists this ribosomal RNA (468 nucleotides) under uncultured bacterium. RNAcentral's name for it is "partial 16S ribosomal RNA". It matches the Rfam family "Bacterial small subunit ribosomal RNA", at positions 28 to 507 of the family's 1533-position model. The record is from RNAcentral.